UCCCCGAUAGCUCAGUCGGUAGAGCAAAUGGCUGUUAACCAUUGGGUCGCUGGUUCGAAUCCGGCUCGGGGAGCCA
Molecule: transfer RNA, 76 nt
Filed under: Alphaproteobacteria bacterium
Lineage: Bacteria; Pseudomonadati; Pseudomonadota; Alphaproteobacteria
Also listed under: 5 other names
Description: tRNA-Asn
Rfam family: tRNA
About the family: Transfer RNA (tRNA) molecules are approximately 80 nucleotides in length.
Source: RNAcentral